GAGGGUAUAGCUCAGUGGCAGAGUGUGUACCUAGAGUGCACAAGGUCCUGGGUUCAAAUCCCAGCACGUCCA
RNAcentral lists this transfer RNA (72 nucleotides) under Camelus bactrianus (Bactrian camel). It matches the Rfam family "tRNA". Rfam says of the family: Transfer RNA (tRNA) molecules are approximately 80 nucleotides in length. Their secondary structure includes four short double-helical elements and three loops (D, anti-codon, and T loops). Further hydrogen bonds mediate the characteristic L-shaped molecular structure. tRNAs have two regions of fundamental functional importance: the anti-codon, which is responsible for specific mRNA codon recognition, and the 3' end, to which the tRNAs corresponding amino acid is attached (by aminoacyl-tRNA synthetases). tRNAs cope with the degeneracy of the genetic code in two manners: having more than one tRNA (with a specific anti-codon) for a particular amino acid; and 'wobble' base-pairing, i.e. permitting non-standard base-pairing at the 3rd anti-codon position. The record is from Rfam by way of RNAcentral. RNAcentral also lists the same sequence under 2 other names. Lineage: Eukaryota; Metazoa; Chordata; Mammalia; Artiodactyla; Camelidae.